This 465-nucleotide ribosomal RNA is filed under the name uncultured bacterium. RNAcentral's name for it is "SSU rRNA". It matches the Rfam family "Bacterial small subunit ribosomal RNA", at positions 26 to 518 of the family's 1533-position model. The record is from RNAcentral.
AGCCUGAACGCUGGCGGCGUGGCUAAGACAUGCAAGUCGUACGGAGGUCGCAAGACCUCAGUGGCGAACGGGUGAGUAAUGAAUCGCUAACGUGCCCCGGACUCUGGGAUAGCCGGUCGAAAGGCCGGGUAAUACCAGAUGACAUACCUUUAUCGCAUGAUAGAGGUCUCAAAGGUCCGCCGGUCUGGGAGCGGGCGAUUUCGUAUCAGCUAGUUGGUAGGGUAACGGCCUACCAAGGCGACGACGCGUAGCCGGACUGAGAGGUUGGCCGGCCACAUUGGGACUGAGACACUGCCCAGACUCCUACGGGGGGCUGCAGUAACGAAUCUUCCGCAAUGCACGAAAGUGUGACGGAGCGACGCCGCGUGUGGGACGAAGCCCUUCGGGGUGUAAACCACUGUCAGAGGAAAGAAAGUUCUGAUCUACCUCAGAGGAAGAGGCGGCUAACUCUGCGCCAGCAGCCGC